ACGCACAGCGAAAGGUGCUUGCACCUUUCAAGUGAGUGGCGAACGGGUGAGUAACACGUGGACAACCUGCCUCAAGGCUGGGGAUAACAUUUGGAAACAGAUGCUAAUACCGAAUAAAACUUAGUGUCGCAUGACACAAAGUUAAAAGGCGCUUCGGCGUCACCUAGAGAUGGAUCCGCGGUGCAUUAGUUAGUUGGUGGGGUAAAGGCCUACCAAGACAAUGAUGCAUAGCCGAGUUGAGAGACUGAUCGGCCACAUUGGGACUGAGACACGGCCCAAACUCCUACGGGAGGCUGCAGUAGGGAAUCUUCCACAAUGGGCGAAAGCCUGAUGGAGCAACGCCGCGUGUGUGAUGAAGGCUUUCGGGUCGUAAAGCACUGUUGUAUGGGAAGAACAGCUAGAAUAGGAAAUGAUUUUAGUUUGACGGUACCAUACCAGAAAGGGACGGCUAAAUACGUGCCAGCAGCCGCGGUAAUACGUAUGUCCCGAGCGUUAUCCGGAUUUAUUGGGCGUAAAGCGAGCGCAGACGGUUUAUUAAGUCUGAUGUGAAAGCCCGGAGCUCAACUCCGGAAUGGCAUUGGAAACUGGUUAACUUGAGUGCAGUAGAGGUAAGUGGAACUCCAUGUGUAGCGGUGGAAUGCGUAGAUAUAUGGAAGAACACCAGUGGCGAAGGCGGCUUACUGGACUGCAACUGACGUUGAGGCUCGAAAGUGUGGGUAGCAAACAGGAUUAGAUACCCUGGUAGUCCACACCGUAAACGAUGAACACUAGGUGUUAGGAGGUUUCCGCCUCUUAGUGCCGAAGCUAACGCAUUAAGUGUUCCGCCUGGGGAGUACGACCGCAAGGUUG
RNAcentral lists this ribosomal RNA (849 nucleotides) under uncultured bacterium. RNAcentral's name for it is "bacterial SSU rRNA". It matches the Rfam family "Bacterial small subunit ribosomal RNA", at positions 62 to 896 of the family's 1533-position model. The record is from RNAcentral.